UUAAAAUAUCUAGAAGGAUCAUGUCAAGUUUCAUGUUAUGUUCUUCUCAGCCCUAGUCCUGGUGGUGAGCACUGCAGGAGAGAUUGUGAGUGUGACUGUGUCCAACAGCUGAGAAGAGCAGAAAUGCGUCUUCUUGCUCUUCAGUUUGUCAUGUGUCAGCAUCACUGCUGGAGACACUACUUCACCUCCCCACUGGGUGAAAAUGCUCUUUGGGGGACUGAGGGCCUGCCGGACAGCAUAGCAGAAACACUGAAAACACUACAGAAAGAUUACCAUGAGAUGAGGAAACAGAUUCUAGCAGGCACUCCUCUGGAUAACCUCAAGCCCCUGUCAGUAGACUCUGAAAAGAUAACUACAAGGGCAAACUACAGCCCAGCACUGGAUGAAGCAAAAGGUGACAGCAACAAGCGAGAUAAAGCUCUGGUCUUUUUACACAAGCAGCCGGGAGCUUCCGCUGAGAAGAACCCUGGUAUGAAUCUCAAAUCGAAGAAAUAAAUAAAUGGGAAUAAUUUUUCAACUGUUUUAAAUGCAUGCUAUGGUAGGUGUCAUCAAGGAUCCAAAUAGCAGCGAGGCUUGGUUUGAUGCAGAAGAGGAACUUGGGUCUCCAAAUCAGGAUGGAAAGAUGGAGAAACUGAAUGAAAGGAGGGAAAGUAUGGACUGCAAAAUAUGAAAGUG
RNAcentral lists this long non-coding RNA (675 nucleotides) under Sinocyclocheilus anshuiensis. RNAcentral's name for it is "lncRNA (ENSSANG00000029333.1)". Lineage: Eukaryota; Metazoa; Chordata; Actinopteri; Cypriniformes; Cyprinidae. The record is from RNAcentral.